CUAGCUUCUCAUUAUCCAAAGCACUUCUCACCUUUCAUAAAUUACUGCUCAACAAAAUUCCAUCCAGCUAGUUUCGGUUAAGUUUUAUGGCAAAAAUAAGGGCAGAAUCAACGCCCCCAUAGCUUGACUCCAGCCAUUUUCCCUUUCUUCUCUUUUCUCGUCAGAAUUAAUUUUUCUAAGUAGUUUUUUAAAUUUAUUUGAAGCAAUGAAUAAAACUAGCGAAAUGCUGGCUCCAAAGCCCGGUGGCACAAUCCCCACGCCGCCACCAUUCUUUUCUAAACCGGUUGCUUUACAAUUUGUCAAGCUUCAAGGCCACUUCCAUCUUCGUCUUAUGUUCUCUCGAUUAGCAUUUGAAGCCAUAAUUUCGUCCAUUAUUACUGUUGACAGCAUGAUGGUAGAGUUUCAUGAUUCAGUAAGGAAGCAUCACUAUCCUUCGUUCACAAGCGAGAAUGAUUUUUUCUUCUUCUUUCCUUUUUAUUUUCGCGUGGAUGUUAAGAAAGAGUACUUGGUGGGUUAGAAGGCUUUAAUUAGUUGAAUAGCCCAAAACUCGAUUAAAUGUAUGACUUUCUCCAUGCUCAAUAAAUUGCACGAAGAUAUAAAAUAUACACUUAAUUAAAUCAUGUUUAUUUUAUUUCACAUACUCAUCAUUUUUAAUAUGACAUUAUACGCAUACAAUUAACAGAGUUUAAUAUGACAAUACACACUUCA
This 708-nucleotide long non-coding RNA is filed under the name Populus trichocarpa (black cottonwood). RNAcentral's name for it is "long non-coding RNA (PTRI_LNC001807)". Lineage: Eukaryota; Viridiplantae; Streptophyta; Magnoliopsida; Malpighiales; Salicaceae. The record is from RNAcentral.